RNAcentral lists this ribosomal RNA (480 nucleotides) under uncultured bacterium. RNAcentral's name for it is "partial 16S ribosomal RNA". It matches the Rfam family "Bacterial small subunit ribosomal RNA", at positions 28 to 523 of the family's 1533-position model. The record is from RNAcentral.
GAUGAACGCUGGCGGCGUGCUUAACACAUGCAAGUCGAACGGAAAGGCCCUGCUUGCAGGGUACUCGAGUGGCGAACGGGUGAGUAACACGUGGGUGAUCUGCCCUGUACUUUGGGAUAAGCCUGGGAAACUGGGUCUAAUACCGAAUAUGACCACUUCUGGGAUGGGGCGGUGGAAAGCUUUUGCGGUAUGGGAUGAGCUCGCGGCCUAUCAGCUUGUUGGUGGGGUAAUGGCCUACCAAGGCGUCGACGGGUAGCCGGCCUGAGAGGGUGUACGGCCACAUUGGGACUGAGAUACGGCCCAGACUCCUACGGGAGGCAGCAGUGGGGAAUAUUGCACAAUGGGCGCAAGCCUGAUGCAGCGACGCCGCGUGGGGGAUGACGGCCUUCGGGUUGUAAACUCCUUUCGCAACCGACGAAGCUUUUGUGACGGUAGGUUGAGAAGAAGCACCGGCUAACUACGUGCCAGCCGCCGCGGUAA